UCUGAUACCUGGAAGUAGGGUGCUACCAUAAUAAGUACCUACAAAUGUGGAAAUGAUUUUGACACUGGGCAGUGGACCAUCUUCCCUGAGCGAAGCCAGCUGCCAUGUCACAAGGCUGCUCAAGCAGCCCCCAGGAAAGGUCAUGUAGUCCGUGUAGAGACUGACUGAGAUUCUCUGCCAAUAGACAUAAGUGAAUCAUCUUGGAAGCAGAGGAGUCCAGUCCUGGUCAACAUCUUGACUGUAAUUUCAUGAGAAACCCUGAGCCAAAACCACCCAACUAAGCCAAAAACCAAUUUCAUGACCCAUAAAGAAAUGUGAGAUAAUAGA
Molecule: non-coding RNA, 327 nt
Organism: Odocoileus virginianus texanus
Lineage: Eukaryota; Metazoa; Chordata; Mammalia; Artiodactyla; Cervidae
Source: RefSeq, a predicted model, not a curated record